GUCGAUUAUUACAAAUCUCGGUAUAUUAAUAUGCAAACAAAAUGUUGUUCUAGUUCUUUGUUUUUCUUAGAUUUAGUUGUCAAGUUUGACAUCUCAAGUUUUAUUUCUAAAUAUCUAUAUAUUUGGUUUAUUGACUUUUAAUUGAAUUCGAAUAUUAGUUUCUAAAUUUUUAAACGUUAUGCCGGCAGUUCUUGUGCACUUUUAUUAACGCUUGUAUUUAGUUUGCUGGUCAAAAUUUGGCUUUGAACUAGUUUACUUAUGAUCCAGUUAAAGAAUUAAUUGCUCAGACUUUUGCAAUAUUUUACUUAAAGAUACCGCAUUUUAUGUAUAUUUUAACAAACUCCAGCCUAAGCAAAAUUGAAUGAAAUAACUACAAAAGUUGAAGGAGCUGGCAUAUAUCCUUUAGAAUAUUAAGAAAACUUACCGUACGACUGUGUUAUGACCACAUGCAACUACCAAACGUCAAAUAAUAAUAAACUGCUAAAGUUCUCAGCGAAAAAGCGCGCUAAAACAUAUCUCAUCAAAAUCAGUACUUUCCUUCCUGCUAUUUCCAUAAAUAUUAAAAAAAAGAAGCCUGAACGAUGGUGAUUAGAGGACACCUAUCGGUGAUAUCUCCCCAUCAGAAACUAUUUAAGGUGGGAUGUCUCGAAUAUAAUGACAACGGCUUAGCAUUAGCUCUGUGAAUUCAAAGCGUUCAAUUUUCCUUUCUAAGAGAUCGGAAAAUCUACAGUGGUAGGCCUUUACUUGAGACUCAUUUGGAACCUAACCGGCCUCGUAAUGGCUUAAGGGGCACACCAAUUGGGCAGUCUAAAAAGUUAGUUUUGAGAAAUAAAAAAAAGCAUAUAGAGAACAUGCAGAAAAAAUUUAACAUUUUAUUUCCGAAGCUAUAACCUUUUGAAAUAUAAAAAAAUCCAUUUAUUUUAAAUUCACUUGCCUCUUAAGUUCCGUAACAGCGAGACACUUUUUCGACUUCUACAUUCAACCACCAAAUGGAUAUGAUCAGAUCUGUCAAAUUAGUAAAAUACUUGUAUUACCAAAAAAAAAUUGAGAUAAUUUUAUGACGCCGCUCCACAGCAUCAUAUGUAUUUGCUAUACUGCAAUGAAACCCACAAAAGCUCUUGGAACAAAUUCAUCAAAAUCAACUGAUAUAACCCACAACUGAAUUGACAACCUAUAAUACUUCAUACUGCACAUAUUUAUCAUUAUUUUAUGGAGUAACUCAUACAUGCAUACACACAUGCAUACAUAUUGUAUUAUAUACAUAUCUCCAGUAUUCAAAUAAUACCCAUUCUUAACAAAUUCGUUGCGGCUACUGCGGUUGAAAGCUCUGCACAUUAUUUUUGUCAUUUCGUUAUUAUUGAAAUAUAACCGCAAUUGUUGUGUACAUUGAGCUAAGCACAUUUUAAUAGCGCGCUUUUGUUUAAUAAGCCUGGCUCAAAGCUUCUUUUCACAAAGGAGCGCAAGAGAAAAAUUCAAAUCCGCCACGGUUUUGGAGCUUAUUUUGGAUUUUUAGAUAUGAUAAAUUCGUGUAUGUUUCGUUCGUCUGCUUUAUGGGCUGCCUGAAGAAAGCGAAAGCUGGAGAAAAAGUGGUUGAAAAUCAAUAAGAGUGGUAACUUUUGCAGAACAUGAAUAAUGAUGACUAUUUAAAAAAAAAUCAAUAUGGAAUAUGGCUGAUUGUCUGUUGGCUGAUUGUCUGUUGGUUUUCAUUGUUUUAUCUUUCCAUAUGCAGAGUUUUUAUUUUAGUCACAUAUACAUUGUUUUAAGUAGAAGUUUGUUGCUUAAGUCUUUUGUGCUUUGCAUACUUAUAAUA
Bactrocera oleae (olive fruit fly) is the source of this 1810-nucleotide long non-coding RNA. RefSeq lists it as uncharacterized. NCBI's taxonomy places the organism in Eukaryota, Metazoa, Arthropoda, Insecta, Diptera, Tephritidae. The record is from RefSeq and is a predicted model, not a curated record.